CCUACGGGAGGCAGCAGUGGGGAAUAUUGGACAAUGGGGGGAACCCUGAUCCAGCCAUGCCGCGUGUGUGAAGAAGGCCCUCGGGUUGUAAAGCACUUUCAGUGAGGAAGAACGCCUGGUGGUUAAUACCCAUCAGGAAAGACAUCACUCACAGAAGAAGCACCGGCUAACUCCGUGCCAGCAGCCGCGGUAAUACGGAGGGUGCGAGCGUUAAUCGGAAUUACUGGGCGUAAAGCGCGCGUAGGUGGCUUGAUAAGCCAGUUGUGAAAGCCCCGGGCUCAACCUGGGAACGGCAUCCGGAACUGUCAAGCUAGAGUGCAGGAGAGGAAGGUAGAAUUCCCGGUGUAGCGGUGAAAUGCGUAGAGAUCGGGAGGAAUACCAGUGGCGAAGGCGGCCUUCUGGACUGACACUGACACUGAGGUGCGAAAGCGUGGGUAGCAAACAGGAUUAGAUACCCCUGUAGUC
RNAcentral lists this ribosomal RNA (465 nucleotides) under Vreelandella stevensii. RNAcentral's name for it is "partial 16S ribosomal RNA". It matches the Rfam family "Bacterial small subunit ribosomal RNA", at positions 338 to 795 of the family's 1533-position model. The record is from RNAcentral. Lineage: Bacteria; Pseudomonadati; Pseudomonadota; Gammaproteobacteria; Oceanospirillales; Halomonadaceae.